AAAGGGUUGCCAACCCGCGAGGGGGAGCCAAUCCCGUCAAAGCCGGUCUCAGUUCGGAUUGUAGGCUGCAACCCGCCUGCAUGAA
RNAcentral lists this ribosomal RNA (85 nucleotides) under uncultured soil bacterium. RNAcentral describes it as "partial 16S ribosomal RNA". It matches the Rfam family "Bacterial small subunit ribosomal RNA", at positions 1241 to 1324 of the family's 1533-position model. The record is from RNAcentral.